RNAcentral lists this ribosomal RNA (483 nucleotides) under uncultured bacterium. RNAcentral's name for it is "bacterial SSU rRNA". It matches the Rfam family "Bacterial small subunit ribosomal RNA", at positions 32 to 524 of the family's 1533-position model. The record is from RNAcentral.
AAUCAACGCUGGCGGCGUGCCUCAGACAUGCAAGUCGAACGAUUAAAGCUCUCUUCGGAGAGUGUAUAGAGUGGCGCACGGGUGAGUAACACGUAAGUAAUCUACCUUUGAGUGGGGAAUAACCCGGGGAAACCCGAGCUAAUACCGCAUAAUGCAGCGGCAUCGCAAGAUGACAGUUGUUAAAGGAGCAAUCCGCUUAAAGAGGAGCUUGCGGCAGAUUAGCUAGUUGGUAAGGUAAUGGCUUACCAAGGCUACGAUCUGUAUCCGGUCUAAGAGGACGGUCGGACACACUGACACUGAAUAACGGGUCAGACUCCUACGGGAGGCAGCAGUCGGGAAUUUUGGGCAAUGGGCGAAAGCCUGACCCAGCAACGCCGCGUGAAGGAUGAAGUAUUUCGGUAUGUAAACUUCGAAAGAAUAGGAAGAAUAAAUGACGGUACUAUUUAUAGGUCCGGCUAACUACGUGCCAGCAGCCGCAGUAAU